RNAcentral lists this ribosomal RNA (200 nucleotides) under uncultured bacterium. RNAcentral describes it as "partial 16S ribosomal RNA". It matches the Rfam family "Bacterial small subunit ribosomal RNA", at positions 524 to 723 of the family's 1533-position model. The record is from RNAcentral.
UACGGAGGAUGCGAGCGUUAUCCGGAUUUAUUAGGUUUAAAGGGUACGUAGGCGGCGCUAUAAGUCAGGGGUGAAAUUUACAGGCUCAACCUGUAAACUGCCUUUGAAACUGUAGUGCUAGAGUUGUGACGGAGUAGGCGGAAUAUGUGGAGUAGCGGUGAAAUGCAUAGAUACCACAUAGAACCCCGAUAGCGAAGGCA